RNAcentral lists this transfer RNA (73 nucleotides) under Kyrpidia spormannii. It matches the Rfam family "tRNA". From Rfam's summary of the family: Transfer RNA (tRNA) molecules are approximately 80 nucleotides in length. Their secondary structure includes four short double-helical elements and three loops (D, anti-codon, and T loops). Further hydrogen bonds mediate the characteristic L-shaped molecular structure. tRNAs have two regions of fundamental functional importance: the anti-codon, which is responsible for specific mRNA codon recognition, and the 3' end, to which the tRNAs corresponding amino acid is attached (by aminoacyl-tRNA synthetases). tRNAs cope with the degeneracy of the genetic code in two manners: having more than one tRNA (with a specific anti-codon) for a particular amino acid; and 'wobble' base-pairing, i.e. permitting non-standard base-pairing at the 3rd anti-codon position. Lineage: Bacteria; Bacillati; Bacillota; Bacilli; Caryophanales; Alicyclobacillaceae. The record is from Rfam by way of RNAcentral.
GCUCCCAUAGCUCAGUUGGUAGAGCGCAUCCAUGGUAAGGAUGAGGUCACCAGUUCGAGCCUGGUUGGGAGCU